AACUUCAUCAUAUAUAUAGCUUUCGACUCACAAACAUGCAUGCCACCCAUCAUCACUUUCCUCAUUAUUGUGUUUUCUGGAGGCACCUUAGAUUUAAUUUGUUUUGGGAAGAGCCAGUUUAAGGGAGAGUAGCUUUCCUUUGGAAUUUGAGGGAAAUAUGGUUUGCUUGUUCCCGAGCCACACUGAAUCCUCAAUUUUUCCACACCCUGGAACAUCCCCAAUUAACACCACUUUUAUCAUUUUUUUUUCCACCAUUCUUUUAGAUUAAUUGCAUAUUGAUUGAAGGAGGAACCUUUCUCUGAGUCUAUAUUCAAAGGUCCUGUCCCUUGAGGUUGCAGAAUAUGAAUCCUUCCAUUUUAAAAUUAGAAUUUGACAAGUCGCAAUCUGCUCAGAGCAAGAGACAUAUAUAUCUAAGGUUGGUGUUUUAUUCUUUUCGUUGCCAUCAGAUGAUGGAAUAUUGAGAUGGGAUCGAAAACUGAUUAUGCCCAACAGUAGUCUGCAGUCUGCCUCAUAUUCUCUUUCACCAUGCUCUUUCACCUUAAGAAUACAAACCACCUAGCAGAAAUUAGAGCUGGUGACAACCCAGGCCUAAACUAACUUCCCAGGGAGCCUUUCACUCUUCUGGACUUGAAAUCAAGUAUUCUGAGUCCUUGAUCGAGCUCUUAAGGGGUUGUCUGAAUCCCUUUUUUUCUCACCUAAGAUUUUGGGCUCCAACUUUAUAAGGGUCUUCCAUCCAUGUUUUUCCUCCACCCAGAUCCCAUGUUUAGCGCGCCAGUCAACUUAGAGGUGCCAACUGCACUAAAUUAAUCGUUCUAUUUUUAAUCAUUAUGCUUCCCAAUAAGACUGGGUUGGUAAAGAUAGUCACCGCAUGCCAAGCCUACCUAGUAAAUAUCUAUCAUAUCUUGCGCAUCAUCCACUGUGUAAUCCCUUCUUUAGUGGCUACCAAGUCCAAGGAACCUGCAAUUGGUUUUUGUUUAACAUGAAAGCUUCUGGAAAUAAAAAAUUUGGUUACCUGCUCUGCCUAAACUAUGGGUUAGGUUUUAAGUUUUAGAAGUAGGUCUUGUUUGGGUGAAGUUGAAUUUUCCGACUACACCUACUAACUAACAGUAAUCGACUUUUCUGACCCACCAGUUUAUGCGUCUUUCCGCUUUUACAUACAGACCCAAUUCAAUUCAUGGUAGUCGUGUUUUUAAAAUUGUAAAUUUAGUCAAAUGAAGUGGCCGGGCUUCAACUUCAUGUUGUCUAGACUCUCUAGAAUUGCAAUUUAGUUAAAAUAAAAUAAAUAAACAUAGCCAAGAAGGCUCAAUGAUGACUCAAAUAAAAAUUGGCAAUUUCCCACAAAACAAAUAUUAGAAAGAGGAGUUGAAGAAAUCCAUACGACUUCUGGAAAAUGUUGUAGGGUUAGGUAGCUUUCUUCAAGUUGCAGAUUGGACCUUCCAUUGAGAAGGUGAGCAAACUAAGGUGGUGUUUGUUUUUUUACUUAAUUCUAAAUAGAACCUUAAUACUUAAUAGUAUUAAAUAUUAGGUUGUUUAUUUUUAUAGUAUUUUAUUUCUAUUAAGUAUUAAAAAGUAAGAAAAACCAUUGUGUUAUUUUUUCUAUUUAGAAAAAGUCACAUAUUUUGAUUUUUUCUAUUUAGUAAAAAGUUUAUAAUAAGUCAUAAAAAAGUAAAAAAACAAACAACUUAAAUUCUAAAACUAAAUGAUUUUCAGCAGAAAAUAAAAAAAACAAACACCACCUACGUCUCCCAUGUGAUAUUGAGGUAAAUAUUAUUAUUAUUAUGGAGUGGUUGUAGGUUUUGUACCUAAUACACCCAAGUCUUCCAGUUUUUCAGUAGGCAUUAGAAAUACGUUUUCCAUUUUUACUUGUAUUAAUCAAUUUUGGAUAACAAGGAUGAGAUCAUUCGUGGGCAAUUUGGUAAUCACACUCCUUCGAACGCUACAAUAAGUCGAUAGAAAUGCCGACGUGGCGACUUGAAUAUGACAAGAUUUCCAGAGAAUGGUAGCAGCAAUCGUGGAAUGGUCCGUGGCAGACCCCCACCACAUGGGCUCCACCACCAUCAACGUUAAAUACUUUACAGUCC
This 2081-nucleotide long non-coding RNA is filed under the name Vitis vinifera (wine grape). Its description in RNAcentral is "long non-coding RNA (VVIN_LNC004741)". The record is from RNAcentral. Lineage: Eukaryota; Viridiplantae; Streptophyta; Magnoliopsida; Vitales; Vitaceae.